This 611-nucleotide ribosomal RNA is filed under the name Providencia rettgeri. Its description in RNAcentral is "partial 23S ribosomal RNA". It matches the Rfam family "Bacterial large subunit ribosomal RNA", at positions 2188 to 2798 of the family's 2925-position model. Lineage: Bacteria; Pseudomonadati; Pseudomonadota; Gammaproteobacteria; Enterobacterales; Morganellaceae. The record is from RNAcentral.
AACCUUGAAAUACCACCCUUUAAUGUUUGAUGUUCUAACGUAGCCCCGUUAUCCGGGGUGCGGACAGUGUCUGGUGGGUAGUUUGACUGGGGCGGUCUCCUCCCAAAGAGUAACGGAGGAGCACGAAGGUUGGCUAAGCAUGGUCGGACAUCAUGCGGUUAGUGCAAAGGCAUAAGCCAGCUUGACUGCGAGAGUGACGGCUCGAGCAGGUACGAAAGUAGGUCUUAGUGAUCCGGUGGUUCUGAAUGGAAGGGCCAUCGCUCAACGGAUAAAAGGUACUCCGGGGAUAACAGGCUGAUACCGCCCAAGAGUUCAUAUCGACGGCGGUGUUUGGCACCUCGAUGUCGGCUCAUCACAUCCUGGGGCUGAAGUAGGUCCCAAGGGUACGGCUGUUCGCCGUUUAAAGUGGUACGCGAGCUGGGUUUAGAACGUCGUGAGACAGUUCGGUCCCUAUCUGCCGUGGGCGUUGGAAGAUUGAAAGGGGCUGCUCCUAGUACGAGAGGACCGGAGUGGACGCACCACUGGUGUUCGGGUUGUCAUGCCAAUGGCAUUGCCCGGUAGCUAAGUGCGGAAGAGAUAACCGCUGAAAGCAUCUAAGCGGGAAACUUGCC